GUAUUUCAAUUAUUUGAAAUUCAAUUUUUUCUUUUAUUUUUUGUGUCAUCUUAUUAUUUUACAAACUCAUCUAACAAAAAAAAAUUUUUUUUUUGCAGGUACUUUAAUCAAGGAACGUAAAUUAUUCCACACGGGCAGCGGUUAUGCUGUAGUGACUCCAGAUACCUUCAGACUCCUGGCCAUGUCCCCUCCUUUGGAGAGGCAAAUGUUGUUGACCAACGAAGAAGCCAUUGUCCGGUUACAUGGCACUGCAUAUACUGUAGAUGAUGGCCGGACAACCUGCACCCAGACACAGCAACAAGAGAUUCUCACUGCCUGGUCAUCGGCCGAGAGGAUUCUCGAACCCAGAAAACAUGGAAAACUGAAAAGGUGUCACUCUCUGAAAUUGCUGAGAGGUGAGAGACUUUCUCGGAGUAACUCUUUCAAGUCCAACACACACCAAGACUUCAGGAACAGCAACGAAGCCAUCAAAA
Non-coding RNA from Parasteatoda tepidariorum (common house spider), 473 nucleotides. Lineage: Eukaryota; Metazoa; Arthropoda; Arachnida; Araneae; Theridiidae. The record is from RefSeq and is a predicted model, not a curated record.